Molecule: ribosomal RNA, 293 nt
Filed under: uncultured bacterium
Lineage: Bacteria
Description: partial 16S ribosomal RNA
Rfam family: Bacterial small subunit ribosomal RNA
Source: RNAcentral
CUCGCCUACGGGACGCAGCAGUGAGGAAUAUUGGUCAAUGGGCGAGAGCCUGAACCAGCCAAGUCGCGUGAGGGAAGACGGUCCUAUGGAUUGUAAACCUCUUCUGCCGGGGAGCAAAAAGCGGUACGUGUACCGCAUCGAGAGUACCCGGAGAAAAAGCAUCGGCUAACUCCGUGCCAGCAGCCGCGGUAAUACGGAGGAUGCGAGCGUUAUCCGGAUUUAUUGGGUUUAAAGGGUGCGCAGGCGGCGAGUUAAGUCAGCGGUAAAAUUUCGGGGCUCAACACCGCCAAGCC